Molecule: long non-coding RNA, 765 nt
Filed under: Pan troglodytes (chimpanzee)
Lineage: Eukaryota; Metazoa; Chordata; Mammalia; Primates; Hominidae
Description: lincRNA
Source: RNAcentral
UUUCUAGCCUCCGCCUCCAGGCGGGUGAGGAGGUGACACCUGAGAAUUCCUCCCUCUCACCCCUGACCCUGCCGGAAAGCGAAACUGAGAUGCGGGCAUUGGGCCCUGGGAAGCGUGGGGAAGGGGAAAGGAGAAAGCCAGGUUAACUACGUCAGGAUUAAUGUGUUCCACUUCUGCUGCCUGAGAAAAUGGAGAAAUUAAGUCCUUUCCAUGGAUCAUUCCUUCUGUAAACAGAGAUCACAAAGCAAGAGCUUCAGCAUCCUCGUGAAAAAGACAUUUUGUUCUGGGUGUCAUCAUCUCCUUCCACUACAGCUUGCAAUUGGAACAAGCUUCACAUCCUGGGGGUGCUGCCUAUCUCUGUCUUGAUUUCUGCCUGUCUAUUCCUCCCAUUGACAGGAAUGUCGUUUGUAUCCUCCACGCAGCAGUUUGCAGAAAUCCAGCAAGGUUUAUGGUUUAUGUUGCCCAGCAUGUAUAAACACAACGCUCUCAAAUGCUUUUUAAAAAUCUAUGAAUUUGUUAGACGUCUUCACAUCCUGGUCCUCCUACCCCAAUUCUCAAACACAAAGUACUCUGUUGCCCUAUUAUAGUCCUGCGAUAGUUCUGGCUAGGAUUAGGUUGACGGUCUAAGCCCCAAGAAAGGCCUGGCAUUUUCAUAGCAGGCUUUCCCCAAUGCUUUGAGUCUUCCUCUCUCACUCCCUUUUUCUUUUUCCCUCGGAGGAGGGGGUGUUGGGGGUGGGAGGUGAUUAGUAAAUGUUUCAGGUAAUC